Cinara cedri is the source of this 906-nucleotide non-coding RNA. NCBI's taxonomy places the organism in Eukaryota, Metazoa, Arthropoda, Insecta, Hemiptera, Aphididae. The record is from the annotation of a GenBank genome assembly.
GGAUGAUAUAACAUAGUGUCUUUUUCUCCUCAACAAUAAGAGAUCAUAUUUUUAUUGAAUUUUUUUUUUUAAUAAUCGUUUUGAAAUUAAAUUUAAGCGAAAAUUGAAAAACAAAAUUACUUCAAACUAUAUAUAUUACCGAACUACGCUCGGAAUCGUCUUUCAUCAGUAAUUAUAUAUCGUUGCUUACAGCUAUAAAUGAAAUAAACUUAUGUAUCCUACCUUCCAACUUUCCACUUAUGUAUAUUGCCAAUUUAAAAACGAUGGUGAAAUCAGAAUUGAGCCAACUGACUAACUUUUGAAAUUAUAGCUUUUUGAAGUUUUAAUGUUAUGCGAAUAUUAUAUGUUAUGUUAAAUAACUCUAUAUUGUCUUUUUUAAAGUAUGUCGUGAUCUAAUGAUUAUACAUACCUUUUGUCAUCCUAGAAUCAUGAGUUCAAACCCAGGUUUCAAACAAAAUGUUUUGUAUUUUUAUUUUCUCCUUUACCUGAACAAGGAAAGUAUUAAUUCAUUUUGGGUGUACUUAGAGAACCAAGCCGUCGCUCGCUCGGACUAUUUUAAUCGCAAAAUACCCUCAAUUUAUUUUACAAAUUUGUAUGCCAGAAAUUUUGCUCCGAUAUAUCAAGUGUAACUUAUUUUCUGAAGGGAAAUUGAUUUACAUGGUACUUUAGGGAGGUAAUUUUUUGAUUUCCUGAAGAGUUUUCCCAACAAAUGUGAAAAACCGGGGACAGUGGAGAAAAAUAUAUGUCUCCCUAGUACAGAAAAUAACUCUAAGGAUCUAUAUAAUUAACCGGUUUUUGUGUAGGUACUUAUGAUUAUAACUAAAUGUUGUCAAUAUAGAUACCUAAUUUCAAGGGAACAUAGACAAAGAGUAAUUUUGAUUGAAAAUUAUAUCGUAUUUUUACCUA